UUUCUUUAUCAACGUGUUCCCUUGCCAUUCAAUCAUGCCCCUGCUUGACAUGAUGUACUUAGGAUAUCUCUUCAUUGCUCUAUAUGUAAGUGGCACAUUCAAACCAGAAUAAUUGAAGCCUGCAAGAAUAUCAUUGCAAACCCUUUUGUUUUUUUCCAUGAAUAAAUGAAGCCUUUAAAUGCAUUAGGACCUACCUAGUUACCCCAUCACUUAUACCUGGGAUAGUGACAUAGAAACAUAAAAACAUAGAAACAUAGAAUGUGACGGCAGAUAAGAACCAUUCGGCCCAUCUAGUCUGCCCAAUUUUCUAAAUACUUUCAUUAGUCCCUAGCCUUAUCUUAUAGUUAGGAUAGCCUUAUGCCUAUCCCACGCAUGCUUAAACUCCUUUACUGUGUUAACUUAAACCUUUCAGCUAGAAGGCUAUUCCAUGCAUCCACUACCCUCUCAGUAAAGUAAGUGACAUCCUUAAGGUAAAUGAAGCUCAUGCUUAGCAACACAGAGGAAGAAGAGGACGGUAGUUACAGAGGUUCUAGUGUAUACCGAGAUAAUGAAUGCCUUAAAUCCUUGGGUGAUUCUAAUGGAGAGGCCAACUUCUAUAGGUACCGUAACUCGGAAGCUAAUAGUAUGUGAUAAUAAAAAGGAGUAUACACCGAAAAUGAAAGAAAAAAA
Molecule: non-coding RNA, 669 nt
Organism: Pelobates cultripes (western spadefoot toad)
Lineage: Eukaryota; Metazoa; Chordata; Amphibia; Anura; Pelobatidae
Source: the annotation of a GenBank genome assembly